UACGGAGGGGGCUAGCGUUGUUCGGAAUUACUGGGCGUAAAGCGCACGUAGGCGGCUUUGUAAGUUAGAGGUGAAAGCCCGGAGCUCAACUCCGGAAUUGCCUUUAAGACUGCAUCGCUAGAACGUCGGAGAGGUGAGUGGAAUUCCGAGUGUAGAGGUGAAAUUCGUAGAUAUUCGGAAGAACACCAGUGGCGAAGGCGACUCACUGGACGACUGUUGACGCUGAGGUGCGAAAGCGUGGGGAGCGAACAGG
Molecule: ribosomal RNA, 253 nt
Filed under: uncultured bacterium
Lineage: Bacteria
Description: partial 16S ribosomal RNA
Rfam family: Bacterial small subunit ribosomal RNA
Source: RNAcentral